AUCCCAGUGCAGAAAGACAGACAUAAGUAAAUGUUUGAAGCAUAUAGUAGGUGAGAUAACACUGAGGUCUAAGGCGAAGGGUAAAGCAGGGAAGGGGCUGGAGAUGCAAGUUUAAACGGGUGGUUGGGGAAGAUGACAUGUGAGCAAAGAAUUGAAACAGGUGAGUGAGUAAGGCGCAUGGCAUUCUGGAGGAGGAGAGUUCCAGGCAGAGGGAAACAGCCAGUGUGAAAGUUCUGGUACUGGAGCAUGCCUGGAAAGUUUAGAGAAAAGAAAUGAGGACAGUGUGACUGGAAAGAGAACAAAGCAAAAAUCAGGAGAAGGUGAGGUUGGAAAGCUGGCAGCACUGGCUACUGCCUAGGAAGACAAGGGGCAUGGUGUUGGGUACAUACAGGUACCAGAACAUUCCUGAGGACUCACACCACAGGGAAAGAAUAUAGGUGCAUAGGAGACAUACAGGGAAGCGGAGGAGGCAAUGCGACUGCAGAGGCAGAGAAGAGAGUGAUGAGGCCACGAAUCAAGGAUUGUCAAGAUCGCCCGGAAGCCUGAAGAGGCAAGGGCAAGGGAAGGAUUCUGCCCUAGAGCUUUUGGAAGAAGCAUGGCUUUGCUGACACCUCCAGAACUGCAAAAGAAUACAUUUCUGUUGCUUUAUGCUUCCCAGUUUGUGGUAACGUGUUCCAAAGGACAGUAGUAUGAUCCUUUACAUUUUCUUUUUUUCUCCAUUUAAGUUUUUCUAUCCUUUUGUGCAUUUGUCCAUUUGUGCCCUUCAUGAAAAUCUCACGCACUCUCUUUCUCGUUGUAUCAUUGCCAAGACAGAGUACAAAACAAUAAUUUGAUGCAUGUGGGUAUGAUUGGGCUUUUUUGAAAAGUUGAUUGACUGUUAAGCCAACUGACCAUGUUUUUAAUAUGAAUGAAAAUACAAAUUACUUGGCAGUUUUGGUAAAAAUGCAGAGUCCCAAUGUCUCCACCCUAACACAUUUCUGAUUUUAUAAGUCUGAGGUGUGACCUGUGAACCAGUGUUUUCUGACAAGAAUCUGAGGGAUUCUUAUAUAGAUGGCUAACAAUCCAUACUUAGUAAACAUUAAAGUGAGGCAUGGUUCCCUUUGUCUGCUAUCAAGAAUGGAUGUAUAUUUGUGGUAUGUCAGUCUCAAAGCCCAUUACAAUCCAGGAAGUAAAGUCUAUAGAAUGUCAAAUCCCAGGCCUCUGUAAAAAUAUAAGUAACUUCAAAAGGAUUUGGUUAGACUCACGUUUAACAAUUCACAGUGGCUAAUUCAAGGAAAUGAGGGUGGUUCCUUAACCUCUGACUUGAAAGCCAAGGGGGUGUAGCAUAACAUUUCCCAGCAUGUUCCUUACUGCCACUGCCUGGGAGUGGAUUCUACACAGGCCUGGCGGGCCCAUGUUCCCACACACUGGGCCAAUUUUUGUUCCUGGCUCAGGGCUGUGCUUACUUAGAGGGGUAAUGACUUUGUCUGUUUUGCUCCUCAGUGGGGCACAUCUCCCAUCUAUUUUGUUUAGGAACUCUAAACACAGUCUACAGUCCAAAGGGAAGCUCAGCUGUGGAACUCUGAACAGGAUCUGGCUAGAAGCAGCCCCAACACACUUUGUUUUCCCACUCUUCUCAUCGUCCUUCUCAGAACUGGGAGGUUUUUCAGAGUACUUGAUGUUGCAGGCUGUUGCCUGAAACCACCCAUCCAGGAGCAUGUCCACCUCUUGCUGCUUAACUGGCUGUAAACUCUGGUACAUCCAGGACAGAAAGUGGAGGCUGAAAAGGGUAAUCAGUGUGUGCCUAAAGGAGGCCAUUGUUUACCUUUUAUGAAAGCAAUGGGACACAUAGUACGUUCUCACUCAUGAGUGGGAGCUAAACUGUGAGGAUGAAAAGGCAUGAGUGGCACAUGGAGUUUGGGAACUCAGUGGGAAAGGGUCAGAAGGGGUUGAGAGAUAAAAGACUACAAAUUGGGUUGAUUGUAUACUGUUUGGGUGAUGUGUGCACCAAGAUCUGACAACUCACCCCUUACUCAUGUAACCAAAUACUAUCUAUUCCCCAAAAA
Long non-coding RNA from Callithrix jacchus (white-tufted-ear marmoset), 2045 nucleotides. RefSeq lists it as uncharacterized. NCBI's taxonomy places the organism in Eukaryota, Metazoa, Chordata, Mammalia, Primates, Cebidae. The record is from RefSeq and is a predicted model, not a curated record.